This 993-nucleotide long non-coding RNA is filed under the name Eptatretus burgeri (inshore hagfish). Its description in RNAcentral is "lncRNA (ENSEBUG00000017223.1)". The record is from RNAcentral. Lineage: Eukaryota; Metazoa; Chordata; Myxini; Myxiniformes; Myxinidae.
AUAGAAGUCAAACAAACAAACCCACAAACAGACACUUCGAGUUAUUGUAUGAUUUACUUUGAUAAAUGAACCACUGAAAGAGAUCCAGUCUUUCGAACUUGUUGACCACACCACUACCCAUACCCUAUGUUGGGCACACUGCUUUUCGAAACUGGCAUCCAGGGCAGCUUCUGUUGGUGUGUGAGACCUUCAUCUGUAGUGAUGGAGUAGAAAUCUCUAUUAUAAGCUGCUGCUGGAUUGGCAGAAUAGCUCACAGGUUGUGCACCCACCUUGAAGCUGUCUAGUCUCCAAUAUAUUCUUGACCUGACUGUAAGCUAUUACCCUAAUGUUUUUCAGGCAUGGCGUUGCAUCGAUGAUUGCGCCCUCCGUCAGAUGGGACACGAAGUUGGGGAGCCGACUGCCAGCGUGUUGGUUGCUGGUGCACGUGAAGGAUUCCCAUGGUGUUUUCACAAAGAAGAGCGACUUGGGAUUGAAUGGCAAAGGAAGCAAAGACUAUGGAGUUCGCCACGGUACAGAUUCCUUUCAAAUUUCUUUCUAAUUAUUUAUCCAUUUAUUCAUUAAUAUUAUUAUUAUUAUUUUAAAAAAGAAUUCUCUUUAUUCAUUCUUAUUCUUCCUUUUUCUUCUCUUACAUCUCUUUUACUCUCAAUUGCUCUCUUUUGUUAUCUAUCUCUCGAAGGAGAAGUGAAUUAUUGCAUAAUUUUUUUUCUGUAAGGUUCACUUGGCUACGCCUUGAUGGAUUUGAGGGUUGUGGAGUAGCGGCUGAAACUGAAACCCGAAUCCUAUCCAGGUUUCUCCUGAUGACUCCAUCUUUGCUCUUUACUUCUUCAGGUUCCUUCUUGGUCUUCCGUUUGAUUCACAUACACACUGUUGUUUAAAUGGUAGCCUGGUGUUGGCGCAGUGGUUAGGGCAGCGGCUUGGGAUCCAAAAGGUCCUGAGUUCAAGCCCCGUUGGGCCAGGGGGGGGGGGGGGGGGGGGGGGGGGGGGGGGGGGGGG